UACGUAGGGUCCGAGCGUUGUCCGGAAUUAUUGGGCGUAAAGGGCUCGUAGGCGGUUGGUCACGUCGGGAGUGAAAACUCAGGGCUCAACCCUGAGCGUGCUUUCGAUACGGGCAGACUGGAGGUAUGCAGGGGAGAACGGAAUUCCUGGUGUAGCGGUGAAAUGCGCAGAUAUCAGGAGGAACACCGGUGGCGAAGGCGGUUCUCUGGGCAUGUCCUGACGCUGAGGAGCGAAAGUGUGGGGAGCGAACAGG
This 253-nucleotide ribosomal RNA is filed under the name uncultured bacterium. RNAcentral's name for it is "partial 16S ribosomal RNA". It matches the Rfam family "Bacterial small subunit ribosomal RNA", at positions 524 to 776 of the family's 1533-position model. The record is from RNAcentral.